CGGGCGCGCCUGAGCCCCGCGGCGCCUCCAGGCCGUGGGAGGGAACCGACGAGCCGGGCUCGGCCUGGGCCUGGCCGGGCUUCCAGCGCCUGCAGGAGCAGCUCAGGGCGGCCGGUGCCCUCUCCAAGCGGUACUGGACGCUCUUCAGCUGCCAGGUGUGGCCCGACGACUGUGACGAGGACGAGGAGGCAGCCGCGGGGCCCCUGGGCUGGCGCCUUCCUCUGUUGGGCCAGCGGUACCUGGAUCUCCUGACCACGUGGUACUGCAGCUUCAAAGACUGCUGCCCCAGAGGGGAUUGCAGAAUCUCCAACAACUUUACAGGAGCAGCUGAUGGGCCAGAUCCGGGAGACGCAGCAGCUCUGCCACCAGACCCUGUUCAUCUUCGAUGAAGCGGAGAAGCUGCACCCAGGGCUGCUGGAGGUCCUUGGGCCACACUUAGAACACCGGGCCCCUGAGGGCCACAGGGCUGAGUCUCCAUGGACUAUCUUUCUGUUUCUCAGCACCUUAUAGAAUGGAGAAGGCCCUGGAGUCCGUGCCCCUGGGACGGGGUGAGGGAGUAUCACUCUGUGGGGUUUUACAGCACCCUGGAUCCUGCCUUCCAGCCCCUGCCAAGUAAUCUCAGGGGCGAUAUAAUCAAUGAGGUGGUCCUAAAGUUG
This 656-nucleotide small RNA is filed under the name Pongo abelii (Sumatran orangutan). RNAcentral describes it as "processed transcript". The record is from RNAcentral. Lineage: Eukaryota; Metazoa; Chordata; Mammalia; Primates; Hominidae.